CCGCGUGAGGGACGAAGGCCUUCGGGUUGUAAACCUCUUUUGUAGGGAAGAAGCGAAAGUGACGGUACCUGCGAAAAAAGCACCGGCUAACUACGUGCCAGCAGCCGCGGUAAUACGUAGGGUGCAAGCGUUGUCCGGAAUUAUUGGGCGUAAAGAGCUCGUACGCGGUUUGUCGCGUCUGCUGUGAAAACUGGAGGCUCAACCUCCAGCCUGCAGUGGGUACCGGCAGACUGCAGUGCGGACUGGGAGAUUGGAAUUCCUGGUGUAGCGAUGGAAUGCCCAGAGUCAAGAGGAACACCGAUAGCUAAGGCAGAUCUCUGGGCCGUAACUGACUCUCAUGAACGAAAGCAUGGGGAGCGAACAGGAUUAGAUACCCUGGUAGUCCAUGCCAUACACGUUGGGAACUAGAUGUAGGGGCCAUUCCACGGUUUCUGUGUCGCAUCUUAUUCAUUAACUUCCCCGCCUGGGGAGUACGGCCGCCAGGCUAGUACUCAAAGGAAUUGACGGGUGCCCGCACUUGCGGCGGACCAUGCGGAUUAAUUCAAUGCAACGCUUAGAACCUUACCAAGGCUUGACAUAUACCGGACACGGCUAUAUAUAGUCGCCCCGCAAGGUCGGU
This 619-nucleotide ribosomal RNA is filed under the name Microbacteriaceae bacterium Se1Ps_2091. Its description in RNAcentral is "bacterial SSU rRNA". It matches the Rfam family "Bacterial small subunit ribosomal RNA", at positions 397 to 1031 of the family's 1533-position model. Lineage: Bacteria; Bacillati; Actinomycetota; Actinomycetes; Micrococcales; Microbacteriaceae. The record is from RNAcentral.